UUGAAAGACUGGAAGAAUAAUUUCUGCACUAGUAAAUCCAGAGAAUGAAUAUUAUAUUAGAAGCAAUAAUGCAACCUCCCUUAGAGUAUCCCAUCCACGUGUCUAAGUCCUGACCUGAAGGGGAAUACCUGCAGAGAUGGGAAAAGUUCAGUCUCAUUAAGCAUGCGCCUCU
Molecule: small RNA, 172 nt
Filed under: Serinus canaria (Common canary)
Lineage: Eukaryota; Metazoa; Chordata; Aves; Passeriformes; Fringillidae
Description: TUC338 (ENSSCAG00000004169.1)
Source: RNAcentral